Molecule: ribosomal RNA, 688 nt
Filed under: uncultured Staphylococcus sp.
Lineage: Bacteria; Bacillati; Bacillota; Bacilli; Caryophanales; Staphylococcaceae
Description: bacterial SSU rRNA
Rfam family: Bacterial small subunit ribosomal RNA
Source: RNAcentral
GAGCGAACGGACGAGAAGCUUGCUUCUCUGAUGUUAGCGGCGGACGGGUGAGUAACACGUGGAUAACCUACCUAUAAGACUGGGAUAACUUCGGGAAACCGGAGCUAAUACCGGAUAAUAUUUUGAACCGCAUGGUUCAAAAGUGAAAGACGGUCUUGCUGUCACUUAUAGAUGGAUCCGCGCUGCAUUAGCUAGUUGGUAAGGUAACGGCUUACCAAGGCAACGAUGCAUAGCCGACCUGAGAGGGUGAUCGGCCACACUGGAACUGAGACACGGUCCAGACUCCUACGGGAGGCAGCAGUAGGGAAUCUUCCGCAAUGGGCGAAAGCCUGACGGAGCAACGCCGCGUGAGUGAUGAAGGUCUUCGGAUCGUAAAACUCUGUUAUUAGGGAAGAACAUAUGUGUAAGUAACUGUGCACAUCUUGACGGUACCUAAUCAGAAAGCCACGGCUAACUACGUGCCAGCAGCCGCGGUAAUACGUAGGUGGCAAGCGUUAUCCGGAAUUAUUGGGCGUAAAGCGCGCGUAGGCGGUUUUUUAAGUCUGAUGUGAAAGCCCACGGCUCAACCGUGGAGGGUCAUUGGAAACUGGAAAACUUGAGUGCAGAAGAGGAAAGUGGAAUUCCAUGUGUAGCGGUGAAAUGCGCAGAGAUAUGGAGGAACACCAGUGGCGAAGGCGACUUUCUGGUC